Molecule: long non-coding RNA, 2617 nt
Filed under: Homo sapiens (human)
Lineage: Eukaryota; Metazoa; Chordata; Mammalia; Primates; Hominidae
Description: long non-coding RNA NONHSAT204545.1
Source: RNAcentral
UGUCGACUACCAGGCUGCGUUAGGAGCUACCGUCUUCAGCUUUUUCUCGCUGCUGAGAGCUGUUUUGUUACUCAGUAAAACUCUUCUCCACCGUGCUCACCCUUCAGUUGACCGUGCAACUUCAUUCUUCCUGGACAUAAACCCGGGACCCACAGAACAGCGGGUGCAAAAAGGGCUGUAACGCUUUCCUGGCCGGAUCGCCAAGCUGCACGGAGUUUGAAAGAAUAAAGAGAUGGAGGGAACGCAUCAUAACCUGGUAUGACCUGGAUCAACAUAAACAAAGGGGUUUAGAUAGCUCAUGGUUCUGCUGGUUAGGAAGUUCAAGCGCAAGGCCCUGACUUCUGGUAAGUGCUUUCAUGCUGCAUCAACACGACUAAGAAGGUCAAAGAAGAAGUGGACAGGGGAUAUAAAAAUAAUGCAUUGUAUGCCGGAAGGGAUAAAUCUGGGGCUGAGUACAAGCAAAACAAGACCAAAGGAAGCUACCUGAGCAGGUAUUCCAGAUACUCAUGUCAUACACCAAGGUUGUACCAGUGCCCCUUUCUCUGUGACACAUCCAUCCACUGGAAACUUUCGUACAACUAGCUGAAAGAAGAGAAACAUCCUAUUUCAUGUCACUGGAGCCCUAAUGAUCGCAGCCAUUUCAGGAAAUGCCAUCAAUUACAGUGAGGAGCUCAUUCAGAAGUGAAAGAUGAGUUCCAUUCUCUGUUACUUAGAGGUCAGUGAUCAUUCCCCAACCUCUUCAUAGUGAACAAAUAGUACAGUAUUUUGAGCAGAUUUUUGUCAGAUUUUUGUGUGUAGAGAGAAAAAAAUGCAGGACAAUAGAUUAUAUUGGAUGUAGAUGAAGUUUGGGCAGAAUCAGGGAUCAAUGGCUCCAUCUAAAUUGUUGCACCAAAACACAGACAUACACCUGCUUUUAGAUUUGAAGAGUGCGUGAGACGUGCCUUCGCUCCUCUUUUGCUUUCUGCCAUGACUGUGAGGCCUCCCCAGCCAUGUGGAACCAAUCACUGGACGCUUAAGUUGAGUAAUGGCUUUUUAUUGAGGGUAUUACAAAGCUCAAAUCUGAGAAAACCUUGUCUACCAUCAACCCUGACCUACAGAGGAGAGGCACCCCCAAGCUUAUUAGUGAUCCUGUCUCCGUCUUAUUGGCACAUCCUGAUGGCCUUGAUCUCUAGUUCUUCCUGUGGAGCAUAACCAUAUGGUUCUUUGCCAAGAUGUUAAGACCAAAGUCGGAGAGUGAACCCCAUGUCAAUGAAUUCUUGUUUUUCUGAUCUUACAUUCCAUCACUUUGAUCCAGUACUCUCAAAAUGCAAUCACAGUUGUACAUGUCUUCUCCUGUCAAUAAACGCUACCUUAGUACUGCGGGUGGAUAUCCUCCUCCACUGAAUGCAAACUAUUAAGUAAUGAAAAGACAGCACUCCAAGCAAUAUAGAUUUAUAGGCCAACCUGGCAAUCAAGGGUAACUGACAUGAAAAUGGAUUGCUUCACAUUUUAAUUACAAAGAUACUCUUCAGUACCAUAAAUUGAAGAAAACACUAACUUUUUGUGGCUACUGUAAUUGUCAAAGUAUAAUUACCUGUGUUUUCUCACCUACGUAUUUGAGAUAGAGACAAAACCAAGUAAGUUAAUCCACUUAUAAUAAAAAUGUCUUCUGAGAAUAUGAUUGAAGCUUUGUGGCAACUCUGUGAACAGCAAGUCUGUCAGUGCCAUUUUUCCAAUAGCAUGUGCCUACUAUGUGUCUGUGUAUGUCAUUUUGUUAAUUUCUGCAACAUUUCAAACUUUUGUAUUAUUAUUAUAUUUGUUAUGGUGAUUUGCGGGAACACAAUUAUUUCUGGAAAGAGUAUUACACUCAGUAUUCUGCAUUUCAUAUGGCAUUUCAAAGUCCUGAGAAUGACUCUCCGUAGUCUUCUAUGUACUAAUUAAACAUGAACAUGUGGUAAACAACAUGGACUAUUCCAGUGGACAGAAAGCGUCAAGUUAAAAUGUUUAAGUGCCCCAUAUUUUUCUAAGUAUUCUUAUCCAGUUGGUCUGACUGGUCAUUAUCUGUUUUGUAAAACUUCCCAAACAACUCAUCAAUAUUUAAAUAGCUUUCAACUGAUGGACUGUACAGAGAGAGGAGCACUUUUGGAAUAAUCCUCACAGCCUAAAGGCCAAUGAUGACACAGAUGGUGAUGUUUUUAAGGAGGUGAUUGAUAGAAGAUAUUUGAUCCCUUUGGUUUGGAGUCUACCAACUGAGAUAAAGGAGAAGAGCUGAGAAGCCUUGUAACAUUAGUAUUCUUUGUCUCUUUGUGGAUGACCCUUUCACAUUAAUAUCGACAUCAGAAACUGAAUUCAAGAAAAGAAAGGGAGAGUCACACAUUCUUUCAAUAAUCCUUUGUCAGUGAACAUUUGAGCACCAUAGGAAGCCAAAUCAGACAUCACUUAAAAUAGUUUUUGGGUCAAGAUUACAAAAAAAAGGAAGACAGGAAAGAACAGUGGAAUCAGCAGGAAUGUGUCCCCUAAAGUCCCUUAAACUAAGUUGGAACACAACCCAGAGACUUCCUUUGGCCUGGAGGCAAACUUAGGAGCUGCCUUUCAGUGUCAUCUCAGGAGCAUCCUUGAAAGAAUCAGGGAAGAAAGU